UACAGAGGUCGCAAGCGUUAAUCGGAUUUACUGGGCGUAAAGCGUGCGUAGGAGGCCACCUAAGUCGGUUGUGAAAUCCCCGGGCUCAACCUGGGAAUUGCAGUCGAUACUGGGCGGCUAGAGUUCGGUAGAGGGCAGCGGAACUCCAGGUGUAGCGGUGAAAUGCGUAGAUAUCUGGAAGAACACCGAUGGCGAAGGCAACUGCCUGGGCCUGAACUGACUCUGAGGCACGAAAGCGUGGGGAGCAAACAGGAUUAGAAACCCCUGUAGUCC
This 273-nucleotide ribosomal RNA is filed under the name uncultured bacterium. Its description in RNAcentral is "partial 16S ribosomal RNA". It matches the Rfam family "Bacterial small subunit ribosomal RNA", at positions 524 to 796 of the family's 1533-position model. The record is from RNAcentral.